Molecule: non-coding RNA, 805 nt
Organism: Meleagris gallopavo (turkey)
Lineage: Eukaryota; Metazoa; Chordata; Aves; Galliformes; Phasianidae
Source: RefSeq, a predicted model, not a curated record
ACUUAUAUGCUUCCAUGUUUUUGAUUUCUAGGAAAUAAACGGUCAGCUGCUCCAAAAAAUGAAGAUGCUGCUCAGAGGAAUGCAGCUCUGGAGGCUUCCACUAGAAAAAAGAUUGAACUUGAGAAAAAGGCACUGCAUAUUGUUGAGCAACUCCUGGAAGAGAACAUUACUGAAGAGUUCCUUCUGAAUUCUGGAAAAUGUAUUACUCCAUCUCACUAUAAAGACAUUGUUGAUGAACGUUCUAUCAUCAAACUAUGUGGUUACCCUGUAUGUCAAAAUAAACUGGAAAAUGUAAGAUGCUUUUUUUAUGAGUAGUGUUAUCAUAAGAAUCUAUUAGCAUUUUUUAUUCUCUUGCUUAUUUUUUUCAUUUUAAAUUUAGACCAAUUUAGAAUCUAAUCAUAGAUUAGGUCAGGUAUCAUUUCAGUACAAUGCUUCUGAAGUAAAAAGUUAAAUCUGAUUGGCUGACAACCAUUGCUAUAUAUGAGAAUCAAUUACAAUCAAUUUUGAUAGUAAUAAAGAUGAAUAAGGUAUGGUUUCAUAGCCAUCCGUCAUGCAUGCAGAAAUGCUCUAAUCUUGUUCUUCUGUACCUCUGUAAGAAGAAGGAAGGACUGAAAUGAAAAAAGGUAAAAUGCAGGGGUAUUACUUUGUGACUGCAAGUCCCUUCAAAAGCAAAUGUUACUUGUGUCAAAAUUACUUAAAUACAAUAUAUCAGAGCCUUAAGUGGAACUAUGAGUUCAGUUAGAUAACCUAUGGUGUAAUACCAGUUGUGAUACAAGAAGUUACCUGGGAAAAAAAAAAUCAUGAA